AGCAGUCGCCGCGGUAAUACGAAGGGUGCAAGCGUUACUCGGAAUUACUGGGCGUAAGGCGUGCGUAGGUGGUGGUUUAAGUCCGUUGUGAAAGCCCUGGGCUCAACCUGGGAAUUGCAGUGGAUACUGGGUCACUAGAGUGUGGUAGAGGAUAGUGGAAUUUCCGGUGUAGCAGUGAAAUGCGUAGAGAUCGGAAGGAACAUCUGUGGCGAAGGCGACUAUCUGGGCCAACACUGACACUGAGGCACGAAAGCGUGGGGAGCAAACAAGAUUAGAUACCCCCGUAGUCCCUGUCUCUUAUAC
Molecule: ribosomal RNA, 303 nt
Filed under: uncultured bacterium
Lineage: Bacteria
Description: partial 16S ribosomal RNA
Rfam family: Bacterial small subunit ribosomal RNA
Source: RNAcentral